This 465-nucleotide ribosomal RNA is filed under the name Vreelandella stevensii. Its description in RNAcentral is "partial 16S ribosomal RNA". It matches the Rfam family "Bacterial small subunit ribosomal RNA", at positions 338 to 795 of the family's 1533-position model. The record is from RNAcentral. Lineage: Bacteria; Pseudomonadati; Pseudomonadota; Gammaproteobacteria; Oceanospirillales; Halomonadaceae.
CCUACGGGGGGCAGCAGUGGGGAAUAUUGGACAAUGGGGGCAACCCUGAUCCAGCCAUGCCGCGUGUGUGAAGAAGGCCCUCGGGUUGUAAAGCACUUUCAGUGAGGAAGAACGCCUGGUGGUUAAUACCCAUCAGGAAAGACAUCACUCACAGAAGAAGCACCGGCUAACUCCGUGCCAGCAGCCGCGGUAAUACGGAGGGUGCGAGCGUUAAUCGGAAUUACUGGGCGUAAAGCGCGCGUAGGUGGCUUGAUAAGCCGGUUGUGAAAGCCCCGGGCUCAACCUGGGAACGGCAUCCGGAACUGUCAAGCUAGAGUGCAGGAGAGGAAGGUAGAAUUCCCGGUGUAGCGGUGAAAUGCGUAGAGAUCGGGAGGAAUACCAGUGGCGAAGGCGGCCUUCUGGACUGACACUGACACUGAGGUGCGAAAGCGUGGGUAGCAAACAGGAUUAGAUACCCUGGUAGUA